RNAcentral lists this ribosomal RNA (301 nucleotides) under uncultured bacterium. RNAcentral describes it as "partial 16S ribosomal RNA". It matches the Rfam family "Bacterial small subunit ribosomal RNA", at positions 509 to 807 of the family's 1533-position model. The record is from RNAcentral.
CAGUCGCCGCGGUAAGACGAAGGGGGCUAGCGUUGCUCGGAAUUACUGGGCGUAAAGGGAGCGUAGGCGGGUCGUUUAGUCAGAGGUGAAAUCCCGGGGCUCAACCUCGGAACUGCCUUUGAUACUGGCGACCUUGAGUAUGGGAGAGGUGUGUGGAACUCCGAGUGUAGAGGUGAAAUUCGUAGAUAUUCGGAAGAACACCGGUGGCGAAGGCGACACACUGGCCCAUUACUGACGCUGAGGCUCGAAAGCGUGGGGAGCAAACAGGAUUAGAUACCCCUGUAGUCCCUGUCUAUUAUAC